This is a long non-coding RNA of Drosophila nasuta, 600 nucleotides long. RefSeq lists it as uncharacterized. Lineage: Eukaryota; Metazoa; Arthropoda; Insecta; Diptera; Drosophilidae. The transcript is spliced from 3 exons. The record is from RefSeq and is a predicted model, not a curated record.
CGAUUGUAUAGACUAGAUGUAUAGUCUAGAGAGUACAGAGCUCAGAGUCAGUUCAAAUAAAAUAUUUAACUAAAAUGCUCCUCAAUUUCUCAAUUCUUCCCGGACAAGCAUUAUCCAGUUGAAUCGGACCCUAAUCCGAAUCAGCAUCAAUAGAACCCAUAAAUUGGUUUCUCAUGGAGUCUUUUCGUAAAGAGUCGGGAAAGACACUUAUUUGCAGACAACGAGAAACGGUCAACAGUUAUUUGCGAGCUCCGAUUUUGAUUCAUUCUAAAUAAAAGUUGAGCUUGAUCAGAAAGAUUGAUUUCAGAGCUAUUCUUCGAGCUGUAAACUGUUAGAUCAGAUGCUUACCAAGCCUGUGCCGUCGCGCUUUUAAUUCUAGGGCAAGCCUCUUCAGAGUUCUGUGAGAAUGGUCAGCUAUCGUGGUGACGCUUUGACGGGGUCUUACUAGACUUUUUAAGUCGCGGAUAAGUUUCCGUAAUAUUUUGUGAAUUCCAGGUGAUAGAUUUACGAUUGUUCUUAUUAUGUAUUGGCAAGAAUAGAAAAUUGCCGCCAACACACCUGCCUUUUUAUUAGAAUAAAUUGCGUCUCCAAAUUUUUCAA